CUUGCACCGGGUGGCGAUGUGGCGGACGGGUGAGUAACACGUAGGAAUCUGCCUGGUAGUGGGGGAUAACCCGGGGAAACUCGGGCUAAUACCGCAUACGCUCUACGGAGGAAAGCGGGGGAUCGCAAGACCUCGCGCUAUCAGAUGAGCCUGCGUCGAUUAGCUAGUUGGUGGGGUAAAGGCCACCAAGGCGACGAUCGGUAGCUGGUCUGAGAGGACGAUCAGCCACACUGGAACUGAGACACGGUCCAGACUCCUACGGGAGGCAGCAGUGGGGAAUAUUGGACAAUGGGCGCAAGCCUGAUCCAGCAAUGCCGCGUGUGUGAAGAAGGCCUGCGGGUUGUAAAGCACUUUAAGCAGGAAAGAAGGCCUCAAGGCUAAUAUCCUUGAGGAUUGACGUUACCUGCAGAAUAAGCACCGGCUAACUCCGUGCCAGCAGCCGCGGUAAUACGGAGGGUGCGAGCGUUAAUCGGAAUUACUGGGCGUAAAGCGCGCGUAGGCGGUUUGCUAAGUCCGCUGUGAAAGCCCCGGGCUUAACCUGGGAACUGCAGUGGAUACUGGCAGGCUAGAGUAUGGUAGAGGAUAGUGGAAUUUCCGGUGUAGCAGUGAAAUGCGUAGAGAUCGGAAGGAACACCCGUGGCGAAGGCGGCUAUCUGGACCAAUACUGACGCUGAGGGGCGAAAGCGUGGGGAGCAAACAGGAUUAGAUACCCUGGUAGUCCACCCGUAAACGAUGAGAACUAGCCGUUGGGCAUCCUUUGGGAGUUUAGUGGCGCAGCUAACACGAUAAGUUCUCCGCCUGGGGAGUACGGCCGCAAGGUUAAAACAUCUCAAUGAAUUGACGGGGGCCCGCACAAGCGGUGGAGCAUGUGGUUUAAUUCGAUACACACGAAGAACCUUACCUGGCCUUGACAUCCCAGAGAACUUUCCAGAGAUGGAUUGGAUGCCUCUCGGGAACUCUGAGACAGGUGCUGCAUGGUUGUCGUCAGCUCGUGUCGUGAGAUGUUGGGUUAAGUCCCGUAACGAGCGCAACCCUCGUCCCUAGUUACCAUCAUUAAGUUGGGAACUCUAGGGAGACCGCCGGUGAUAAACCGGAGGAAGUUGGGGAUGACGUCAAGUCAUCAUGCCCCUUAUGGUCAGGGCUACACACGUGCUACAAUGCUCGGUACAGAGGCUUGCCAACCCGCGAGUUGGAGCCAAUCCCACAAACCCGUUCGUAGUCCGGAUUGGAGUCUACAACUCAACUCCAUGAAGUCG
RNAcentral lists this ribosomal RNA (1256 nucleotides) under uncultured bacterium. RNAcentral's name for it is "bacterial SSU rRNA". It matches the Rfam family "Bacterial small subunit ribosomal RNA", at positions 79 to 1328 of the family's 1533-position model. The record is from RNAcentral.